Non-coding RNA from Pogona vitticeps (central bearded dragon), 1094 nucleotides. NCBI's taxonomy places the organism in Eukaryota, Metazoa, Chordata, Lepidosauria, Squamata, Agamidae. The record is from RefSeq and is a predicted model, not a curated record.
GCGUAAAUGUCUUGUAUCCUUGGUAAGUUCAGCAAAGCAGUUCUCAUCGUACUGACCGAAGCUGAAUUUACAGCUGUGCUUUGAAAUGCUUUCAUGUCCAGUGAUACGCCACUAGAGGGUACACUAGCAUCGUUGAGGAUGCUCAGAGUUAGCUGUACUGCCUUCUUCCAGAUGGAGUCAGGCCAGGUUGGGUUACAUCUUCCACCCUGCCCCACCCAGCCAUCACGAGGCAAGGUGCCUAAGGAGGAGCGGAGCGAUAGUCCAUGGUAGCCGAAUGUCAAAAGCUGUUUGGGUUUCUGCUCCUGAAAUGCCUGCAGGAACCUAUUUUAUUUGCCUUCUCUGCAACCAAGAUCCGGGAGAGCCCCUUCAGAGUUUCUCAUCUCUGCAUAUCUUAAGGAGUGAGGAAGGUGUGUUUCCUUCCCUUUUACACUAUGAUUGCGAUCACCCUGUGGCCAGUGUACUGCAGCUCUUGUAUAAAUUUGUUAUCAUUAUGUGACGUCAAUGUGGAACUGACGUAUAGUGACCCUAACACAACCUUCAAGGAAAAUGAGCUAUGGAAGGAGUGUCUUCACCACUUCCUCUCCCCCAGUGGGUUUCCAUGGUCAAGCAAGGAUCCAAACCCUGGUUUCCAGUGUCCUGGUCUGUCACUUUAUUCAUGGCAGCACAUUUUUUGUUGAAAUACCGGGGUUGCAUUUAAGAUCAGCCCAUGUUUUGAAAACACUUGGAUUGUACAGGCGUAGAAAUGAACCCACAGUGUGGCGUUCUUGCCCCAGUGGUGACUUCGCUUUAUCCUGUUUUCACUCUGAUCUAUGUUGAAAUUUAUGGUCUGUGUAGCAGACCACACAGGCCACUGUCGGGGGGCCAUUACUGUCGGAAUGGAUCCAUACAAGCAGCCCCCGAAGGCAGUAACAGGACAAAGUCUGUGCUCAACAGUUCAGCUUGAGAAAGUAAUCAAGACACAGAACCACCUAUAUACAAGGGUUGUACAGUUGCACUAAAAAUUUAUUCCAGUAACGGGUGUAUUCCAAAUAAGUAAAUAUUAAGUGGUAAAGGAAGAACUUUUGGAAGUAGCUUUGCAAGUCUCUAAAAUUAUA